This 468-nucleotide ribosomal RNA is filed under the name uncultured bacterium. Its description in RNAcentral is "partial 16S ribosomal RNA". It matches the Rfam family "Bacterial small subunit ribosomal RNA", at positions 28 to 507 of the family's 1533-position model. The record is from RNAcentral.
GACGAACGCUGGCGGCGUGCUUAACACAUGCAAGUCGAACGGAAAGGCCCUGCUUUUGUGGGGUGCUCGAGUGGCGAACGGGUGAGUAACACGUGAGUAACCUGCCCUUGACUUUGGGAUAACUUCAGGAAACUGGGGCUAAUACCGGAUAGGAGCUCCUGCUGCAUGGUGGGGGUUGGAAAUUUUCGGCGGUUGGGGAUGGACUCGCGGCUUAUCAGCUUGUUGGUGGGGUAGUGGCUUACCAAGGCUUUGACGGGUAGCCGGCCUGAGAGGGUGGCCGGCCACAUUGGGACUGAGAUACGGCGCAGACUCCUACGGGAGGCAGCAGUGGGGAAUAUUGCACAAUGGGCGGAAGCCUGAUGCAGCAACGCCGCGUGCGGGAUGACGGCCUUCGGGUUGUAAACCGCUUUCGCCUGUGACGAAGCGUGAGUGACGGUAAUGGGUAAAGAAGCACCGGCUAACUACGUG